GCAAUCUGCCCUUCACUCUGGGACAAGCCCUGGAAACGGGGUCUAAUACCGGAUAACACUCUGUCCCGCAUGGGNCGGGGUUAAAAGCUCCGGCGGUGAAGGAUGAGCCCGCGGCCUAUCAGCUUGUUGGUGGGGUAAUGGCCUACCAAGGCGACGACGGGUAGCCGGCCUGAGAGGGCGACCGGCCACACUGGGACUGAGACACGGCCCAGACUCCUACGGGAGGCAGCAGUGGGGAAUAUUGCACAAUGGGCGAAAGCCUGAUGCAGCGACGCCGCGUGAGGGAUGACGGCCUUCGGGUUGUAAACCUCUUUCAGCAGGGAAGAAGCGAAAGUGACGGUACCUGCAGAAGAAGCGCCGGCUAACUACGUGCCAGCAGCCGCGGUAAUACGUAGGGCGCAAGCGUUGUCCGGAAUUAUUGGGCGUAAAGAGCUCGUAGGCGGCUUGUCACGUCGGAUGUGAAAGCCCGGGGCUUAACCCCGGGUCUGCAUUCGAUACGGGCUAGCUAGAGUGUGGUAGGGGAGAUCGGAAUUCCUGGUGUAGCGGUGAAAUGCGCAGAUAUCAGGAGGAACACCGGUGGCGAAGGCG
RNAcentral lists this ribosomal RNA (588 nucleotides) under uncultured bacterium. RNAcentral's name for it is "bacterial SSU rRNA". It matches the Rfam family "Bacterial small subunit ribosomal RNA", at positions 121 to 723 of the family's 1533-position model. The record is from RNAcentral.